CAGUAGCCGCGGGAAUACGUAGGUGGCAAGCGUUAUCCGGAAUUAUUGGGCGUAAAGCGCGCGCAGGUGGUUUCUUAAGUCUGAUGUGAAAGCCCACGGCUCAACCGUGGAGGGUCAUUGGAAACUGGGAGACUUGAGUGCAGAAGAGGAAAGUGGAAUUCCAUGUGUAGCGGUGAAAUGCGUAGAGAUAUGGAGGAACACCAGUGGCGAAGGCGACUUUCUGGUCUGUAACUGACACUGAGGCGCGAAAGCGUGGGGAGCAAACAGGAUUAGAUACCCCUGUAGUCCCUGUCUCUUAUAC
RNAcentral lists this ribosomal RNA (301 nucleotides) under uncultured bacterium. Its description in RNAcentral is "partial 16S ribosomal RNA". It matches the Rfam family "Bacterial small subunit ribosomal RNA", at positions 509 to 807 of the family's 1533-position model. The record is from RNAcentral.